Molecule: long non-coding RNA, 788 nt
Filed under: Homo sapiens (human)
Lineage: Eukaryota; Metazoa; Chordata; Mammalia; Primates; Hominidae
Description: HSALNT0390131
Source: RNAcentral
GACGGGGGACGGCCCGAGUGAGGCGUCCUCCGAAGGCUGCGGGCCCGAAGCCAGAACUCCUUCCUCUCCGAAGACCUCGGGGGUGGGGCUCGCGCUUCCGCAGCGGGCCUAGAGCGAGAGGCAGGCGGCAGGGAGAGGCUGUCGAUGCUGAGGCACGAGAGAAUUUGCUCCUGCUCCUCCAGAGAAAAUGGCUGGGACAGGCUGUUGAGGAAUAAUUCUGCAGGGAAAAGUGGAAGAUGGCUGUGAAAGACUGGGAGGAGGCUGGCUGUGUUUUCAGGGGUUCUUCCUGCACAGUCGGUAGAAGCUGAGCUGCUGGGGAAGGGGCUGGAAGAAAGCCCACACCGCAGGUAUCAGUAGCAAAUUCAAAAACUACAGAAUCAGCUCCAGAGGACUUUGUUAACAAGAAAGAGAAGAUUGAAAACAGCCCUGGGGCUACACCAACUCAAGAGCUCCCAGGCAAAGUGGCAUCCUGGACCCACCAUCUCUCCUACCCCAUCCUCAGUCGGUACUUCCCCAGGCACCGUUUGUUCUGGCAUGGGGCUAGUUCAGCCCUGGGACCACCCUCAUCCUUAUAACUACCAGCUGUCUUUGGUGAGAGAUGAGGUCUCAUCAUGUUGCCCAGGCUGGACUCCAACUCCUGGGCUCAAGCGAUCCUUCCACCUCAAUCUUCUGAGUGGCUGGGACUACAGAUGUGCGCCACCAUACCUGGCUAUUGAUCAAUUUUUAGUUUACCAAACAGGCAUUAUGUUCUGGGUCCCAUUCUGUGUCGGGUUCUCUUUUCACUCGGC